GAUGAACGCUGGCGGCGUGCCUAAUACAUGCAAGUCGAGCGAACGGACGAGAAGCUUGCUUUUCUGAUGUUAGCGGCGGACGGGUGAGUAACACGUGGAUAACCUACCUAUAAGACUGGGAUAACUUCGGGAAACCGGAGCUAAUACCGGAUAAUAUUUUGAACCGCAUGGUUCAAAAGUGAAAGACGGUCUUGCUGUCACUUAUAGAUGGAUCCGCGCUGCAUUAGCUAGUUGGUAAGGUAACGGCUUACCAAGGCAACGAUGCAUAGCCGACCUGAGAGGGUGAUCGGCCACACUGGAACUGAGACACGGUCCAGACUCCUACGGGAGGCAGCAGUAGGGAAUCUUCCGCAAUGGGCGAAAGCCUGACGGAGCAACGCCGCGUGAGUGAUGAAGGUCUUCGGAUCGUAAAACUCUGUUAUUAGGGAAGAACAUAUGUGUAAGUAACUGUGCACAUCUUGACGGUACCUAAUCAGAAAGCCACGGCUAACUACGUGCCAGCAGCCGCGGUAAUACGUAGGUGGCAAGCGUUAUCCGGAAUUAUUGGGCGUAAAGCGCGCGUAGGCGGUUUUUUAAGUCUGAUGUGAAAGCCCACGGCUCAACCGUGGAGGGUCAUUGGAAACUGGAAAACUUGAGUGCAGAAGAGGAAAGUGGAAUUCCAUGUGUAGCGGUGAAAUGCGCAGAGAUGUGGAGGGACACCAGUGGCGAAGGCGACUUUCUGGUCUGUAACUGACGCUGAUGUGCGAAAGCGUGGGGAUCAAACAGGAUUAGAUACCCUGGUAGUCCACGCCGUAAACGAUGAGUGCUAAGUGUUAGGGGGUUUCCGCCCCUUAGUGCUGCAGCUAACGCAUUAAGCACUCCGCCUGGGGAGUACGACCGCAAGGUUGAAACUCAAAGGAAUUGACGGGGGCCCGCACAAGCGGUGGAGCAUGUGGUUUAAUUCGAAGCAACGCGAAGAACCUUACCAAAUCUUGACAUCCUUUGACAACUCUAGAGAUAGAGCCUUCCCCUUCGGGGGACAAAGUGACAGGUGGUGCAUGGUUGUCGUCAGCUCGUGUCGUGAGAUGUUGGGUUAAGUCCCGCAACGAGCGCAACCCUUAAGCUUAGUUGCCAUCAUUAAGUUGGGCACUCUAAGUUGACUGCCGGUGACAAACCGGAGGAAGGUGGGGAUGACGUCAAAUCAUCAUGCCCCUUAUGAUUUGGGCUACACACGUGCUACAAUGGACAAUACAAAGGGCAGCGAAACCGCGAGGUCAAGCAAAUCCCAUAAAGUUGUUCUCAGUUCGGAUUGUAGUCUGCAACUCGACUACAUGAAGCUGGAAUCGCUAGUAAUCGUAGAUCAGCAUGCUACGGUGAAUACGUUCCCGGGUCU
Molecule: ribosomal RNA, 1372 nt
Filed under: uncultured bacterium
Lineage: Bacteria
Description: bacterial SSU rRNA
Rfam family: Bacterial small subunit ribosomal RNA
Source: RNAcentral